This 69-nucleotide transfer RNA is filed under the name Xenothrix mcgregori (Jamaican monkey). RNAcentral describes it as "tRNA-His". The record is from RNAcentral. Lineage: Eukaryota; Metazoa; Chordata; Mammalia; Primates; Pitheciidae.
GUAGCUAUAGUUUNAUAAAAACAUUAGAUUGUGAAUGUGAUAAUAGAAGUUACCAANUUCUUAUUUACC